AAACGGCGGAACUCAUCGAAGUCUGCAGUCAGUCCUAUACAAUGCGAGCUCUGCUCUGCCGGCGACUCUCUCGAUCUCUCUACGAAGCCGCGGCUUCAUCAUCAUCAUCUUCUUUUUCUUCUUCUUCUUCAUCAUCAUGUUUUCGUCGGCUCGGAUUCAGAACUCUAAGCUCACUCACAUCGUCGUCAAACCACACGCCUCUCUCUCGAACCCUACUCGCAUCAUCCCCGUGGUCCGCCACUCAACUGCGCGGCGCCAAGUUUCUCGGCUCCGAUGUCAGACCUGGAAAUUGCAUCAGAAGAAAAGGACGCAUAUACCAGGUUUUAAAAGCACAACACACACAGCAUGGAAGAGGAGGAGCAACAAUACAGGUGGAGCUUCGUGAUAUUGAUAGUGGAAGCAAAGUAAAUGAAAAGUUUCGUACUGAUGAGACUAUUGAAAGUGUAUUUGUUGAGGAAAAAUCUUUCUUAUAUUUGUAUACUGAUGAUGACAACAUAGUGCUGAUGGAGCCUGGCACAUUUUCACAAAUGGAAGUCUCAAAGGACUUGUUUGGCAAAGCUGCUGCAUAUCUAAAAGAUGACAUGAAAGUUACACUGCAUUUAUGUGAUGGAAAGCCAACAUCUGCAUCAGUUCCAAAACGCGUGACAUGCACUGUUGUGGAAGCACAAGUGCCUGUGAAAGGGAGUACAGCCACACCUCAGUAUAAAAGGGUUUCGCUGGACAAUGGCCUUACAGUGUUGGCACCACCUUUUGUCCUUGCUGGUGACUCAAUAGUAAUUGAUACUACUGAUGACUCUUACAUCACCAGGGCAUAGGAUGAAUAUUUGCAUCCUGCUUCGUGUUGAGCAUCCUUGCCAGUAUCUUUGGAUGGACAGGCCAUUUGAAUCCUGGAAUGUGAAGAAACCAUGUGAUCUGAUGAUGCUUGAGUCUCUUGGGAGUUGGAUGACACAACUCUAAUAACAUCAACACUAAAUAACUCAUUAUCUUGAAGCCAACAAAGAUAAGGAAGAGGAGGGGAUCUUCUUUCUCCGCAAUCCAUUCAUCAUCCGAAUCAAUCUCCUCUACCAAAAUCAGAUCAACAUUUUGUUUCCUUUGUAGACUUCGCUCUCUCAAUCUAGUGUUGUACCUUACAUACACUAGAGCAUUCAACCUUUGAUGUUCAAAUCUAUUUCUUUUUU
Molecule: RNA transcript, 1178 nt
Organism: Vitis riparia (riverbank grape)
Lineage: Eukaryota; Viridiplantae; Streptophyta; Magnoliopsida; Vitales; Vitaceae
Gene name: elongation factor P
Exons: 12
Source: RefSeq, a predicted model, not a curated record